AUUUGAUCGUCUUCUCCGGAUGAGCCCUCUUCGACCAAGCAACCCCCUCCCCCUCGAAGUUUCAUAUUCUCUACAACAAAUACGUUCGAUAGGGAAAGGAUCCGCAACAGUAAAAAAUGAACCCUCUUCCACCCCUCUGCUUUUUCGUCUUCAUUACAGACCUCAUGGGUCUGCUUCUUCUCCAUUCGAACACCAACAAACAUUAGGAGAUAUACAAAUCUAGAGACUAAAACAAGCCAGUUUCAGAACCAAAUCACGACCCCUCCCCGUCACAGGAAAAAACAAGCUCCAGCAGCCCGCCAGAUCGACGAGCUCCAGCUGCGACAAAUAGAACCAAAUGAUCCAUAGCAGAAGCUCGCCCUCCUGAACAUUGUCUUCUUCGUAGAAACUUGAUGCUGGAAAAUGCGCAGCAGUCCCCUCGUCCACAACAACAGCUGCAAAUUUCUCUUCUGAUUAAAAAAGGUUAGUCCUGGUUCUGUUCGUCAAUCCGGCGUCGAGGUGAUACUGGGUUCGAGGCUUGGUCGUGAUUCCGUCGAAGGUCAAUAAAUUUCCAGUCGAGUAUGUCCGUAUCCAGCUUCCAUGACCUUUAUUAGGACCGAUUUUGUCGUCAUUUUUGGCAAUUAGGUAUGUAAAUAGUCAUUUGUGUUUUACUUCAAAGCUAUGAAUGAAAAUUUUGAAUUAUUAAAGCCAUAUUCCUGACUGAUUUUAUUGAUGCAUGAUUGAAUCUAAUUAUGGCUUUGUUUCUUUUUGGUUUGUCGCUCAUUUUGGCAUGUAUGUUUGUUAUAAAUUGGAUUUACAUUUAUGUAUUAGUGAAGCCUUUGUUGUCGUCAUUUUCUUCUGAUUCGUUAAUGAAGUAUGCAAAGCUUCAAGAUUUAGCUUCUGCUUGUGUGGUUUUGUUGAUUGAAUUGAUAUGGUGUGAUGUGUUACUGAUUCGUGUUUGUGAUUAUAGAUCUUGAAUUUCUAUGACAAUACUAAAAGGAUGAAUAUAGAAUGGUGAAUGUUUGUAAUAAUUGUUAUUAGUAAUCUAUUAGUAAUCUUUGGGUCUUGUUCGCUAGCUAACGCAAGAAUGCAGUAAUGCAUUUUUUGCGGUAUCUCUGUUCAUUAAUUAUGCCAAUUUGUCCAUUUGGUUUGUCUUGUAUAAAUUAGAAGCUGGAUUGGAUGUGCAAGAAUUUAGUUUGUGAGUUUAGGUUUCCUUAAUUAAAUAGUGGGGCUCUUAAAAGUAGAUUCCAGGUGUGUCGUGCCGAACAAAAGUCUCAAUUGCAUGGCCCUCGUGUUAAGUUAGUUAUAAAAAUUGUUUAAUAUUUGUAGAAAAACCUUUAGGGCCAUUUAAAAUAUGAUUGUAGUUGCAUAUACGUUCGCGUAACAUGACCAUGAUUCUAAAUUAAUUUAGAGUAUGCGUUCGCGCAACUUCGACCAAUCGUUUCUUAAUAAUAAAAUAGGUUACAAAUUUUAAUUAUUUUUAGUUUACACAAGUUCAUUAAAUCGCAUAGGGCCUUCCUCAUAAUUUCAUAAAUUAGUACAAUAUUGACAAAAUUUCGUAGCAUAUCCUUUAGGGCCAUUUAAAAUUACUAGUGUGAUUGUGUAUACAUCCGCGUAAUACAAUUACACUUCUAAAAAAUAAAACCGGAGUAUGAGUUCCCGUAACUUUGGCCAAAACAUUCUUAAUAAUAAUUAAGCGUUACUAAUUGUGGACAUGUUCGCGUGAAAUGAUUUUUGACGCACCAAACAGGCGGGUAUACGUACGCGUAACCCGUUUCUCGAUUUUUUUCUUAAUUAAAAGCGGUAAAAGAGGUAAAUGCACAUAGGUUCUAAAAUCAGUAAUUAAAUAAUUUUAAUAAGCCAAGUAUGAUCAAAGCUACCCUACUAGAACCACGGAACACGGGAGUACCUAUCACCUUCUCCCCGUUAACAGAAUUCCUUACCCGGGUAUCUGGCUCGCAGACUGUUAAACAGAGUCAAACCUUCCUCGAUUCGGGAUUUAAAGCGGUGACUUGGGACACUAUAAAUUAUCCCAAGUGGCGACUCUCAAAAUAUCUUAAAUAAAUAAAUCUCGUUUCGAUUGUCCUUAAAUUGGAAAAACUCCCUUCUCUACACCCUUUGCGGGGUAGUAGUGUAAAAAGGAGGUGUGACAGCUCUGGCGACUCUGCCGGCGAUCAAACCUACAAUCUAUGAUUCAGAGUUCAAGAAUUUGAGCUUGUUUUAUGAUUUUUACUUAGUUUAUUUAUUGUUGAUAUUAUUAUUCUGUGAAUUUGUGCUAAAUGUUAUGUGUUUACUGCUUGAAUAUUGUUGAAUUGUAUAUAAUUGUCUCCUUACGCCACCCCUCUGAGUCUUCUGAAAAUGGUGCAUAAGUUCGUGUAGCCCACUUUUUCUGUAGAAAUUAUACCAAAUAGAGCGAGGCUGGGCAAGUGACAAGGCUGGGCAGACUUUAGUGCUCCCCGUACGUCGCCCCCAGUUGUCCACUCGGGUACCCCAAGUCUAGAUCAAAACCUAAGAAUUUAAACUUAGAAAAACACAGCUCCAUGUUGGAUCCCUAGUAAGAGUGCAUGUUUGCAUCACGUGCUUGAAUUGGGGGCUCAACAAUAGGGUUGGGUCCGUCUAGGACAGGUGUAUACAAAAUAAAAGACCAUCCUGAUGCAUCCUAUGUGCUACAUGUUGCAUUUAUUCAAGGGCAAAAAGGUCAUUUGGCAGACCAAUGAUAGCUGAGGGCAAAUGAAAAAAUUAAAAAAAAUAAUGAAAAAGAAAAGAAAAAAAAAAGAAGAGGUUGAAGUUUGAAUAUAAAGCGAGUGGGGCCCAAUUAUGUUUUCUGUCACAUUUUGUUAAGAAAAAAGAGCUUGGAAAAUUCAAAAGAUUUUGCACUUUUUAUCAUUUUUCAAAAAUCAGAAAAUCAAAAAAAAAAGAAAAAGAAAAUCCAAAAGAGAUUUUGCAUGUUUCAUCAUUUCUCAAGAAAAAGCAAAAAAAAAAGAAAAAAAAUAAAUAUGUUUUUCUAAAUUAGUUAUUUUUUAUUUUUAUUUCUCUCCUGUAUCCAAUCUUCCCGAACUACGCAAAUCUGAUUCUCGUCUUUCGGAUCACUAUAUGUAGGCAAUCCACAUAUGGUCCGGUCUUCCUAGUAAAUCUUAGGUUCUUGGCUUUGCGGGGUCUCAGCCAAAUUUUGCACCUCUAGCCAUUUUAGGUUAAAUAAGUUAUUUUGCAAAAGUAAUUGCAACCAUAUGUUGUAUGUGUCUAAUAGGGAAUGUUAUUGUCUCACAUAGUGUUGGUUUAAGUUUUUUUCAUACAGGUAUGGAUCCACUUAUCCGAGUUUGAGCAUGACAGAUACUCAAGGACCACUGCAUUUAGGAGUUGCUUAAGGAGAUUUAUUUUUAUUUUUAUUUUUAUUUUUGAGUAUGCUUUUUUUAUGUCAUCUUUUACUUUCUAGUUUUGUACAGUAAUGUCAAGCUUUUAGUUAUUGUACUUUGUAUUUUGUAUUUAAAAAUGUGUUGUAACUCAAAUAUCCAAAAAAUAAAAGAGACUUUGCCUUUU
This 3516-nucleotide long non-coding RNA is filed under the name Nicotiana benthamiana. Its description in RNAcentral is "long non-coding RNA (NBEN_LNC031164)". The record is from RNAcentral. Lineage: Eukaryota; Viridiplantae; Streptophyta; Magnoliopsida; Solanales; Solanaceae.